Molecule: ribosomal RNA, 253 nt
Filed under: uncultured bacterium
Lineage: Bacteria
Description: partial 16S ribosomal RNA
Rfam family: Bacterial small subunit ribosomal RNA
Source: RNAcentral
UACGUAGGGUGCGAGCGUUAAUCGGAAUUACUGGGCGUAAAGCGUGCGCAGGCGGUUUUGUAAGCCAGAUGUGAAAUCCCCGGGCUUAACCUGGGAAUGGCAUUUGGGACUGCAAGGCUUGAGUGCGGCAGAGGAGACUGGAAUUCCUGGUGUAGCAGUGAAAUGCGUAGAUAUCGAGAGGAACACCGGUGGCGAAGGCGAGUCCCUGGACAAUCCCUGACACUGAGGCACGAAAGCUAGGGGAGCAAACAGG